Molecule: long non-coding RNA, 339 nt
Filed under: Coffea arabica (coffee)
Lineage: Eukaryota; Viridiplantae; Streptophyta; Magnoliopsida; Gentianales; Rubiaceae
Description: long non-coding RNA (CARA_LNC004286)
Source: RNAcentral
CUAAACUUGUUCAAAAUAGGUUUAUAGGCUCAACCAGCCCCAAAUUUCUUUUGCAGAGCUGGACAUUUCCUCUCAAAUCAAAGUAGGUGUAUUUUAUAGAGCAAGAUAGUGCACUAUAGGAUAAUCUUCACAAAUAUUCGUAAAAACUUUGUUUCACAAGAUAGAAACUAAGCCUAAGGAAACACACUGGCAUUCGAUUCUUAAAACUGAAAUUCCAACCAUAUAUCUUCCAUGAUCUUCAUUCAAUUUACCAAGCUAUUAACCAAAUCCAACAUGCAAUCACCUAAACUCUGAAAUGAAAACAUGCAGCUUCAAGAAUCUAGCAAAACUUUCUAAAAC